GCGCAGCAGGCGCGAAUCUUCCACAAUGGGGGAAACCCUGAUGGAGCGACGCCGCGUGCGGGGAUGAAGGCCCUAAUGGGGUUGUAAAACCGCUGGUUCAGUGGAAAGAACAUCCUCCGGCUGAAUAGGUCGGAGGCCUGACGUUACCACUGCAGAAAGUCCCGGCCAACUCCGUGCCAGCAGCCGCGGUAAUACGGGGGGGACGAGCGUUGUCCGGAAUCAUUGGGCGUAAAGGGCGCGUAGGCGGCGAGGAAAGUCGAAUGUGAAAUCUUGCGGCUCAACUGCAAAACUGCGUUCGAAACUUCCUCGCUUGAGUAUGAGAGAGGUGUGCGGAAUUCCUGGUGUACGCGGUGGAAUGCGUAGAUAUCGAGGAGAACA
Molecule: ribosomal RNA, 378 nt
Filed under: uncultured microorganism
Description: bacterial SSU rRNA
Rfam family: Bacterial small subunit ribosomal RNA
Source: RNAcentral